Molecule: long non-coding RNA, 367 nt
Filed under: Chrysemys picta bellii (western painted turtle)
Lineage: Eukaryota; Metazoa; Chordata; Testudines; Emydidae
Description: lncRNA (ENSCPBG00000009595.1)
Source: RNAcentral
GGGAGCAUGGAAGAAUCUGAAGUAAGACUAUUUCCACAAAGAAACUUGAGAUCCCAGCUGUGCAACUGAAUUCACGUGGGUGGAACCUGGAACCCAUGCAUCUCUGUCGUCUUUACUGGGAGUCCACACCGCUUUAAGAAUGGAUCAGAUGUCAACAUCAGCCGCAGAUUGUCAAUUGUAACACUUCCAGGUGGUUACCACAUCAAGCAUCCCAAGCAGCAUAUUGCUGGAAGUGCCACAUAACAGGUUAACUCUUGAAAGCAGAAGAAAAGGAGUGGGCUCAAAGGAUAUCUUGUUUUUUCCAAGCCAAGUGCUGUUUUCUUGAACCUCUUGUAAAUGGAAGACCUCUGCUAAAGGGUAAGGAUAU